UACGGAGGUCUCAAGCGUUGUUCGGAUUCAUUGGGCGUAAAGGGUGCGUAGGCGGCGUGGUAAGUCGGGUGUGAAAUCUCGGAGCUUAACUCCGAAACUGCAUUCGAUACUGCCGUGCUUGAGGACUGGAGAGGAGACUGGAAUUUACGGUGUAGCGGUGAAAUGCGUAGAUAUCGUAAGGAAGACCAGUGGCGAAGGCGGGUCUCUGGACAGUUCCUGACGCUGAGGCACGAAGGUCAGGGGAGCAAACGGG
Molecule: ribosomal RNA, 253 nt
Filed under: uncultured bacterium
Lineage: Bacteria
Description: partial 16S ribosomal RNA
Rfam family: Bacterial small subunit ribosomal RNA
Source: RNAcentral